UGGCAGGAUCUCCAGCUUAAGGGGCCCGGGGAUAGUUCCUCAGGACAGGAACUCAGAUGGAAGGAGAAUGACAGAUGGAGAUCCUGUUGUCAGACCCGAGGCACACGAUACCACUCAGAAUUCCAGGAGCAAGGCUGUGCUGGAGCCUAGACACAAGGUCAUGACUGGCCCAGAGACAGGCGUGGCUUAAUGCUGAGUGAGUCCCCAGAGCCCCGGAGCUAGAGCCGCCUUAGUUCCUCCUGCCUCAUCGGGACUGGUCCUGGAGGCCACAGCCAGGGGAGGGGGGCCAGGGGCUCCAGCCGCGGAGGGAGAGCUGUGCUGCAGAGACCGGAAGGGGCCUGGCCCGACUGUCCCAGCGGAGGCAGCCCCCUGUGACAGCAGACAGCCAUGUAAGAGUGCUGCAGGGCAGGGGGAGCAUCUUGUUACUAUUCCACACCAGAACCUACCUGGGAGGGCUAGCAAUGGCCAACGAGCUACCAAAACGCUAGCUGUGAAUCCGGCCCGAUGUUCCUCGUGAACUCACUUGCCUUAUCUGAAGGUACGGUGUCACCACAAAAAUUAGCUCUGGCGACGACUCUGGCCCCCUACCGGGAGUCACCACAAGAUGCUCCCCACGAGUACCAACUGGGUUGAAGAGAAUGAGUGGUGUCUCCCUCCUCCUGGAAUACGUGAGGCUGUGCGUUUAGCCAAACAGCUUUGAUUCCACCAGGUACAUCCUCCAUGAGGCUGGCGGUGGUCAUCGCCUUUUGCCGUGACUCGGAAGGCCUCUCUGAUUCCUCUUGCCGCACUUGCCCAAAUUAUGACCUCUCUGUUCACUCCUCCAGCCUGCUGCUAGAGAGAGAAUGGCUUCCUUGGGCCCUCUCCCGUAGGAGCUCAGACCUGUCAUCAGUGUCUGCUUGAAUCACUCAGCCCUCUAAGCCAGCAGUGGUCCACAGAACCCCCGCUCCUCCUCCCCGAAUUCUUUGUACAACUGUGACCAGACUUCCAAUCUUUGAAAAAGGACCGAAGAUGACGAGGAAUGAGUAGAUAGCCCUGUGUAACUUGCCCUUUUCCAGCAAGGAAGCUCCAGAGGGGCAACUUCCUUCGAGAUCAAGGGGAGCGCCUGGACCUAGGGCAGCUUUCUGGAGAAUCCCACAGGACUGGACAGAUCACUGUGAUACCAAGUCGUGUUCAGGGGAGCAACGGACUUUGGGGCCCUUGUUAACAAGGCCGACCUUUCCUAGCUCUCUCUGCCCCUUGACAGCUGAGUGCCAUCACACAGGGUGUGGGCCAUCUGUGAGCUUUGUGGCCCUAACUGUCUCAUCUUGGCAAUCUAGAAAGGUCCUUUAUGAAGGGCGCCUGGGUGGCUCAGUGGGUUAAGCAUCCAACUUCGGCUCAGGUCAUGAUCUCACAGUUC
This is a long non-coding RNA of Prionailurus viverrinus (fishing cat), 1396 nucleotides long. RefSeq lists it as uncharacterized. The record is from RefSeq and is a predicted model, not a curated record. NCBI's taxonomy places the organism in Eukaryota, Metazoa, Chordata, Mammalia, Carnivora, Felidae. The transcript is spliced from 3 exons.